Long non-coding RNA from Peromyscus maniculatus bairdii (prairie deer mouse), 629 nucleotides. RefSeq lists it as uncharacterized. The record is from RefSeq and is a predicted model, not a curated record. Lineage: Eukaryota; Metazoa; Chordata; Mammalia; Rodentia; Cricetidae.
UGCAGCUUGUAUUUCUCCAGCAACUUUUCUGUCACAUCAGGCCCGAAGUAACAGCCUCCUCCUCGGACAGUGUUGGUCUUGCAGCCCUCUUGGGCCAUGGGAUCGCUCCACAGAAUAUCUACAACCUAGGAAGACCAAGGGUUACACACGGUUCUCCCCGUGAGAUAACUGGCUCUCCUGCGGCUUGCUGUCUCUAUCUCCAGAUGGAAACACAGCUGAACAGAAGGAUGCGACCACAAUGACUGGAAGGAACUCAAGCAGCCAUCUUGGAUCAUGAUGCACUGUGGCAGGCUAGCAAGAAUUCCAAGUUCCUAAGACUGCGAUGUUGCUACAGACCUUCGUUUACACAAGAGAUAAAUAUUUAACAGAGACCUUUGGAACUUUCCGUCACCUCAGCCAAAGAUGUUUGCAGGGUGAGGAAGACAUAUCCGCUGGACCAGUUCACAACCUGUCGUGUGCAUCUGUCUCAGCUGGAGUGUGGCUUCUGUGCUCAUGGAUGCUGCUCAGCAAAUGGAGAAGACUGGCUGCUGGGUUCUCCACGGGAGACGUGUGUAUGGAUGGAAAUAAUAACGCUAUAAGCCUUGGAAUUUGCUCGAGCACCAAGGAAUAAAAUGUCUGCUCACACAAAA